Phyllostomus hastatus (greater spear-nosed bat) is the source of this 162-nucleotide small nuclear RNA. RefSeq annotates it as U1 spliceosomal RNA. Lineage: Eukaryota; Metazoa; Chordata; Mammalia; Chiroptera; Phyllostomidae. The transcript has a single exon. The record is from RefSeq and is a predicted model, not a curated record.
AUACUUACCUGGCAGGGGAGAUACUAUGAGCAUGAGGGUGGUUUUCCCAGAACAAGGCUUGCCCUUUGCAAUCCAGAUGUGCUGACCCCUGUGAUUUCCCCAAAUAUGGUAAACUCGAGUGCAUACUUUGUUGUGGUAGUGGACUGCAUUUGCGUCCUGCCC